This 232-nucleotide ribosomal RNA is filed under the name uncultured bacterium. RNAcentral's name for it is "partial 16S ribosomal RNA". It matches the Rfam family "Bacterial small subunit ribosomal RNA", at positions 17 to 244 of the family's 1533-position model. The record is from RNAcentral.
GAAUGGCUCAGGACGAACGCUGGCGGCGCGCCUAACACAUGCAAGUCGAACGAGCGAGAGAGAGCUUGCUUUCUCGAGCGAGUGGCGAACGGGUGAGUAACGCGUGAGGAACCUGCCUCAAAGAGGGGGACAACAGUUGGAAACGACUGCUAAUACCGCAUAAGCCCACAGGUCGGCAUCGACCAGAGGGAAAAGGAGCAAUCCGCUUUGAGAUGGCCUCGCGUCCGAUUAG